Molecule: long non-coding RNA, 223 nt
Organism: Anneissia japonica
Lineage: Eukaryota; Metazoa; Echinodermata; Crinoidea; Comatulida; Comatulidae
Exons: 3
Source: RefSeq, a predicted model, not a curated record
GCAGGAUCUCUAUCAAGUUACCAGCUUUUGCAAAUUUCAUUAAAAAUUUGUCGUUUUUUCCCGAGAAUUUUUAGUUCAUUGUGUAGACGUUACAGAUUGGAGUAUUGAGACAACAUGUCCACUGAUCAAGAAACACAAUUUAUUUUCUUCUGUAAUGGACGAAAGAUUACUGACAACAGUGUUGAUCCAAGCAUGAUGUUGCUCAGUUAUCUGCGACUGAAAU